This 1374-nucleotide unclassified non-coding RNA is filed under the name Hevea brasiliensis (rubber tree). Lineage: Eukaryota; Viridiplantae; Streptophyta; Magnoliopsida; Malpighiales; Euphorbiaceae. The record is from RNAcentral.
UCCGUCCCUGAAUAAUCUUCCUUUCAACAAACUUUCAAUUCUUUCUUUCCUUUCCUUCUUUCCUUUCAAUCCAAAUCCCUUCCCUCUCCCCUCUCCCAAACGGAAUCAUGGGGACUGAUAUAUCAGAGCCGUUGCUUCUGCCCGAUUCUAGCAAAAUCCAGGCCGUUGACGCCGAGCGGAUCCCAGAGUGGAAGGAUCAGAUCACGAUUAGAGGCCUUGUAGUUAGCGCCCUGUUGGGUACGCUCUUCUGCAUCAUUACCCACAAGCUCAAUCUCACCGUUGGCAUUAUCCCCUCGUUGAAUGUCGCUGCUGGUUUGCUCGGCUUCUUCUUUGUCAAGUCAUGGGUUGGAUUCUUAUCCAGUUUGGGUUUCACAAUUUCUCCCUUUACCAAACAGGAGAACACUGUUAUCCAGACCUGCGUCGUCGCUUGCUAUGGCCUCGCUUUCAGCGGAGGGUUUGGGUCGUAUUUGAUCGCAAUGGACGAGAGAACUUAUGAAUUGAUAGGUCCUGAUUACCCUGGUAACAGGGCAGAGGAUGUCAAGAACCCAGGAUUGGCCUGGAUGAUUGGAUUCUUGUUUGUUGUCAGCUUCCUUGGACUUUUUAGUCUUGUUCCCCUUCGCAAGGUUAUGGUCAUGGAUUAUAAGCUUACAUAUCCCAGUGGGACAGCUACAGCAAUGUUGAUAAAUAGCUUUCACACAAACACGGGAGCUGAGCUUGCAGGGAAACAAGUCACUUGUCUUGGAAAGCACUUGAGCAUAAGUUUGGCUUGGAGCUGCUUUAAGUGGUUCUUUAGCGGUAUUGGGGAUUCAUGUGGAUUUGACAAUUUCCCAAGUUUUGGUUUAACACUAUUCAAAAACACGUUUUAUUUUGACUUCAGUCCAACUUAUGUUGGAUGUGGUCUUAUUUGCCCUCACAUAGUCAACUGCUCAGUUCUUCUGGGGGCUAUAGUCUCGUGGGGCUUUCUGUGGCCCUUCAUCUCCCAACAUGCUGGGGACUGGUAUCCAGCUGACCUGGGUAGUAAUGAUUUUAAGGGUCUUUACGGAUACAAGGUCUUUAUAGCCAUUUCUCUUAUCCUUGGGGAUGGCCUUUACAAUUUGAUCAAGAUAAUUGCAAUAACUAUUAGGGAAAUAUGCAAUAAAAGCACCAAGGAGAAUCACCUUCCUAUCGUCAGGGAGUUUCAAGAUGGUGAGACUUCCGAAUUGCUAGUGGAACAGAGAAAGCGAGAUGAGGUAUUUCUGAAUGACAGAAUACCCUCCUGGUUUGCAGCUUCUGGAUAUGUGUGCCUGGCUGCAAUAUCAACAGCAACAAUUCCAAUCAUUUUUCCACCCCUCAAGUGGUAUUUGAUUCUCAGUUCAUACGUUAUUGCCCCUGCCC